This 11383-nucleotide long non-coding RNA is filed under the name Homo sapiens (human). RNAcentral describes it as "non-protein coding lnc-CLASP2-1:10". The record is from RNAcentral. Lineage: Eukaryota; Metazoa; Chordata; Mammalia; Primates; Hominidae.
AGCGGCGAGCGACGGCUGGCAGACAACCUACCCACUCCCAGCCCCGCGCCCACCUCAGGAGCGUCUCGAGCGCGCCCUCGUGCUUGUCCAGCGGACGACCGACUGCGGCGCGGCGCAGCUUGCUGAGCUCCUCCGCCGCGCGGCAGUACUGGGCCUGCUCUUCCCCGCCGCUUGGGUAAGUCUGCUGGAUGAACUUCACCAGCGGCUUGGCCAGGUCCACCUCUGAGGUCUUUUUCAGCUGCACCGAGAUGAAUGUCGCCAUGAUCAGCGCCUCCGCCGCCGUUCGGGCCAAACAGACCGCGGACAGCUUACGAGGGCCGAGGAGAGAGAGGUACUGGGCUGGCGGACUGGCGGACUGACUGGCUGACAGACUUGCGCUCCGCCUGCGUUCCGGGUCCGGCAACUUCCGGGAGCUCCAGCGCAGGCGCACUGGAUGCGGGGUCCUUAAGCUGUCCGCGGUCACGUGAAGGUGUCGCGGCGGCUACGCCCACCUGGACCCAGUUUACCCUGUACUGUGCUGCAAAAUAUUACUUUCUCCCCAUCUGGAAUUCUUCCCUUCCUCCUUCCUGCCGCAGUGGUGUACUGAGCACUUUCACGUAAGAGUAUUCCUCCACUCGAACAACCCCCCGGAGAAGUACUGGUGUCACUGCCACCUGCGAGAGUUUGCGGCUACCUCCCCAAGAGGCAGUCCCAGGGUUAUUGUGACCUAUGAUGUUUAUUCAACUACUGUUGACGGGCUGCUGUGCACAGGGAACCUAGUAGGCAAGACCCCUGCCAUCGUGCAGCUUACUGUCAGGUUGACACAGACCUUAAGAAAGAACAAAAUUUUAAAUAAAUUAAAAACGACACCUGUAAUUUGAGAAGAUGCUUGAUAUCAGAAGAGGAGAAGAGUGGAGAGGGGUGGAGUGGCAAAGGAGAGCCUCCAAACCAAAAGCCUGCGGCAGAGGCCCUAGGAGGCAAGCACUUAACCAUGUUUCAGGACUAGAAACGAAACAUGUGACAAGACCUUUAAAAACAAAUAGAAUGGGAUGGAAUAAAGUUGGAUGAGUAAGCAGGCAUCAAAUCAUUCAGAAACUUGUUGUCCAAGUUGAAGAAUUUGUUUAGUAUUGUAUAAUAAAUGCAGAGGAAGCUAUAUACACUUAUAAUUUACAUUUUUUAAAGGCCACGUUGUAGCUCAAUCGGAUAGUUUGUCUUUUGAUGGGAUGUAGUAUACAGUAUCAUCAUGGUAUAUUCCAGGCAAAAAUAUUUAACUUGAAUCUGUCAAGCCUUUGCAUCUAACACAGUUUAUAAAAAAUACAACAGAUAGAUGAACAAACUAAAUGAUGCCAGAGGAAGUAACUAGACAGAUCCAGAAGGUGAAACAUUCUGCAGGAUAACUGGCCCAUCUCUUCAACAAUUUGUCAUGAUAAAAGCAACUGCUUUAUGAAAAGAAAUUUAAGGGACAUAACAGUUUGAAUUGGAUCCUGGUUUGAACAGACUGUCUAUAAAAUGCAUUUUCAGGACCAUUAAAGAAAUAUGAAUGUAGAUGGACUGAGUAUUGGAUAAAAUAGAACUGUAUUGCCAUGGAAAAGAUCAUUAACUGAAAAGAGCAAGUCACGAAAUAGUAUGUUACAGCAUCUCAUUUUGGUUUAAAAAUGCACAUAUAUGUAUUUAUGUACAACUAAAAAAAUAGUGGGCUUAUACCCUAAGGUGUUAGUAUUGGUAAUCUUUGGAAGUGGAAAUGUGUAUUUUUUUCUUUGUGUUUGCCUAUCUUUUUCAUUGUAACUUUUGCAGCACAUAGACUACUUUCAUUAUAGUAAAAGUUUAUUUUACCACAAUUUUUUUUUUUUUAGAAAGAGUCUCACUCUGUCACCCAGGCUGGAGUGCAGUGGCACAAUCUCAGCCCACUGCAACCUCCACCUCCCAGGUUCAAGCUAUUCUCCUGCCUCAGCCUUCUGAGUAGCUGGGACUACAGGUGCACACCACAUGCCUGGCUAAUUUUUGUAUUUUUAAUAGAGACUGGAUUUCGCGAUGUUGGCCCGGCUGGUCUCGAACUCCUGGCCUCAAGUGAUCCACCCGCUUUAGCCUCCCAAAGUGCUGGGAUUACAGGCGUGAGCCACUGCACCCGGCCUAUUUUACCACAAUUUAUAAAAAUUUUUGUUUAUUUUAAUUAAGCUAUUCUAUGUUAAAAUAAGUAGCCACCCUUGGCUGAUGCAUAAAGAAAAAAUUAGAGGAAGGAAAGAAUGGAGGCAAGGAGGCAAAUCAUGAGACCAUUUCAGAAAUCAAGACGAAAUCAGGAAAGCUAACAUUAGCAAGAGUGAACCAAACUGAUAAUAUCUUUGAGUUUAAAACUGAAGAAUUUACCAAUGAACUGCAUAGGAAAGUAAAGAAAAGAGAGUGGUCAAGAUAGGUCCUGGUUUUGGGGCCUGAACAUCUGAGUGGUUAGUAGAAUCAUUACCAGUUGAUAACCCAUGGAAGAGGGUGGGGGAUGGGUGGUGUCUUGUAGGUUGGUUGACAGGACUGACCCAUUGGGAAGAUAACGAAGAAGCAAAGUAUAUGAAAAGAGGAGAAAGGGUAACCAGAGGAGGGAGGAUACAAAGGGAGUGAUUAGCCAUCAGAAAGAUGAGGGACAUGACAUUUGUUGAGGCAGAUGGCGGAGAAAAGAAAGUUAACAUAGAUGUGGUUAGUUUUGUGGCAUUGACCAAAGGAAGAUUAAGGUGAUACUAUCUGAUGGCUUGGAAUGAAAACCAAACUCCCUGCCACAACAUGAUGAUCUUUCUCUGCAACUUCAUAUUUUGCCUCUUGUUCCUCAUUUGUUACCACUGAGUCACAAUGGUCUUUUUAGUUUCUCAAACACACCAAGAUCUUUCUUGCCUCAUGUGACCUAGAAUGUUUUCUCCCUUUCUUCAUAUCUCAGUUGAAAGGUCUCCUCUCCUCAUCAUCAUACUAUCUAAAGUAGAUUCCCUCCCUUGUUAACCUCUAGCGCAGCCAUUAGUUCCUUCAUAACACUUACCCUAACUUGCAAGUAUUUUGUUUGUUGAUAUAAUUUUUAUCUGACUUCCCCACUAAAAUGUAAGCUCCAUGAGGGCAAAAAUUGUGUGUUUUGUAUACUGAUGCAUCUCUAGCACUUGGUAUAGCAGGCAUUCAAUAAAUAUCAUUAAAUAAGUUUCACCCUUGUAAAAAAAAAAAAUAUAUAUAUAUAAAAUAUAUUCUCUACUUCCAAAAUAACACACUUUCACCAACAACAAGCACUCCAGCUAAUUAGGCAAUAGGCCAAUAAGCAAAGAAUUAUGGUAUAUUAGUCAAGAUUGGCUAGCUUAUGUUCUGACAAUAAACAAUUUCAAAAUCUCAGUUUCAAUUUUAAACUCAAAGAUACUAAUAAACAUUUGUUCUUUGCUCACACAAAGUCUAAUAUGGAACAGGCUUAGAGUUGUCCUCCAACCAGUGUCUGAGCAAUCCAGACCACUUUGAUCUUGUAACUCUGCCAUCCCAACAUGAGAUUCCACUUUCACUGCAGAAGAGGAAAUCUGUAGCAUCAUGCAGCAGCUUGUCACUACCUCAGCCCUCCUACUUCCACUUGCAUUUCACUAGCUAGAACCUUUCACAUGGCUCCACCAAACUGCAAUGGGACUGGGAAGGGAGAAUCAGAUAUUAGGGAGCAUUUAUAAUGCCUUCCAAGGGUGUGUUUCACUGCUUCCAAACUUGCUUAUGAUGAUGUUUUUCAUUUAUGUAAUGAAAUGCCAUAUGUUCUUAGUGUGUAUUCUCAGCAUAACGAGUACAUUUGGAGAAUAUUAAGUCAGUGGACUUUCCUUCUUGAAAAUUCCUGGUUCUGGGCCUAUCAUUAACCCCACUGAUUGAACCAGUGGAAAUAGUUGCCUCUUCGAAUGGAGAGAACCCUGCUGAAGGCAGCUUUGAGUUUCAAAAUAGUGUGUUUCAAGUCCACAUGGAGACGAUAGCCUGAAAGUAAGCACUUAUGAUUUUUGGAGGAGUCUUUGUUAUUAAGGAGAAAAGAGGCUUACAGAAGUCAGAUUCAGAAGACUGUAGUAUUUUUACAAUAAAUGAGAGUAAACAGUAUAAGGAUUUGAUGUAAGGGAAGUUCCUGCAGUGCAAGAAAGAAAGUCCUUUUGGUGCUGAGCGGAACAGUCUAAGAGAGAAAAGGUGAAGAACAAAAGGAAAAUGUAAAUGUGGUAUUCACACUUCCCUACUCCACACUCAGGAUAAACCUAGAGUAUGAGGUAGAGGCGGGAAUCUAGAGGGGAGGAAGCAUAGAAUAGGAACACCCAAAUAGACUUGAUGAAACAAAAAACAUCAAGGAUGGCUCCCGUGUCACCUGGGAAGACACACUUCAUGUAAGGAAUGGAAAAAAGGCAAUGGUAAGGGACAGGGGCCCUGGAUUUUUUACAACAUGCGAUAGAGAACUAUUUGUCUCCUUAAUUUAUUUAACUUUAAAAAAUAAUAAUGAAUGAAAGAAAAAUUACCCAUUUUUCAAAUAUGGGUGUGUAAGUUUUUUCCACUUUGUACAAAAAAUUUUAAAGAAACGAAAACUGCUGAACACCUUAUAUUCAGAAUUACUCCCUGUAUAAGCCCAUUCCAAUUCCAUAUACUGCUGAUUAAAUUUCCAUCAGUUGGCAGUUCUCUAAUAUCAGUUUCACUGCUAUUUAACUAACUACUGCCCUUUGCUACCAGUGUCUCUCUUGGAUGAGAGUCACUUUACUUGAAUAAGAUAACUUCUGAGAAUAAAUCUAUGCACUAUUUUGGAAGAAUUGCUCUAUAGAGUAAAAAAUAAUUCUGGAUAAUUGAAAGUUAUCUUGUGAGUAUCUGGACAUUAAGGAUACAUUUCAAGACUCCUGUUUUCACUAAAAUCCAAUAUUUGUUUAAGCACUUCAAGUUAAAGAGGAGCACCUUCCCCUUUCACCCUGACUAUCGUUGUUAAUUCGUUUUUGAAGCUAUAUAAGAACGUUUCUUUAAUCGGUUUUCCCUUAGGCAUACAUUAGCUCUCUGUUCAAGACUUAGUAGCAGAGAGUAGUAAGUAAAUGGUUAUUAGUGGUUCUUCAUAUAAAACACAUUUGAGUUUCUUAGAAGAAAACUAUGCAUAAAGAUUACUUUCAGAUAUCAUGUCUGUAGUUCGUUAAUAGAGAAGUUUCUCUGAACGUGUGGAACACUGUAAUAAGAUAAAUAAAUUUUUAAAAAGAAAAAGUAAGCAUAUAUACAAAAUGUAUGUAAUUUCAUUUGUCUUCACUUAUUUAAUAUUUAUAACCAUACAUUAAAUGAAAACCAAAUCCUACAAGCUUCAUGGUACAAAGUUUUGGUAAUACUUGGAUGACCAGACUAAGUUAUUCAGCAGAUAUUUUUUGAGCUUAUACUGUGUGCCAAACAAAAUGUAGUUCAAGAGAAUUCUAUGACCAAUCUAUUAAUCUAUUGUAUAUAUUUACAGAGGUCUUUAAUCCACCCUUAUAUAAGGUAGUUCAGCAAACAGUUCAUAGGAGGAGGUCUAGGAAAGCAGUUAAGGAAAGUCCUAAAAUGGCAGCUCUGCAGCAAGCAGAAAGUACAACUAGCCCAGAAUAAGGAGAGGGUGGAGGGGCGCAGGAGGAAGAUCCAAUAGAGGGAAAAAAAAGGUUGAAGGGAUUAGAUAGAAUAAAAACCACCAGGGUUCUCGUUGGAAAAAUUAUUCUUUUCCCUUUGUAAUUAACAACUAAUUUGUGGGAAUAUAAUUCGAGGCUAUUAAACAUACUGUUCCACAUUAAACUUUCUUCCACUAGUUUUAGCAUACUUCGAUGAUUCUUCCAUGAAUCUAAUAUUUCUGUGAUGAUUGCAAAAUGGUAAUUUUCUUAUCCAUUAUUCUGCCUAUAUCUAUUAGCUGACAUUAUUCUAGAAAGAAGAAUUUUCUUUUCUCCCUUAUUUAUUCAUUUAUAUGUUUAUACCAGCAUGGACCCAUAGAUUUUUAUUUAAUUUGGUAGAUUAUAAUCUGUUAUUAUUAUUUAUUUUGACGCUCAGAUUGUCCAAGAUUUGACUGAUAUGAACACCCUCAAGCUGGCUCCUGUGUUCUUUUUCUUCCAAUAUUUUCUUUUCUUUUCUUUUCUCUUCUUUUCUUUGUUUUUUUGUUUUGUUUUUUUGAGACAGGGUCUGGCUCUUUUGCCCAGGCUGGAGUGCAGUGGUGCAGUCAUGGCUCACUACACCCUCAACCUUCCAGGCCCAGGCUCAAGCAAUUAUCCUACCUCAGCCUCCCAAGUAGCUAGGACUACAGGUGCACACUACCAUGCCCGGCUAAUUUAUUUGUUUAUUUUUUGUAAAGACGGAAUAUCCCUAUGUUGCCGAGGCUGGUCUCAAACUCCUGGACUCCAGGGAUUCUCCUGCCUCAACUUCACAAUUCAUUUUUAAAAUUUCAGCCACAGCAUAGAGUUUUGCAAUAAACACUCACCUACCCACCACCUAGAUUCUAACAUUAACAUUUUACUAUGCAUGCUUUAUCUCACAUUUGUCCAUCUAAUCUUCCCUCUAUCCACCCAUAAAUCUACCUUGCUUUUUGGAUCCAUUUCAUAGUAAGUUGCAGUCAUCAGAAAGGAAAAGUAAAAUAAGUAAAUUUAUUGGUAAAUAGGCAAUUGAUGGGAGUCAAAAGAUAUUUAAAUGAUAUCAAUGAAUGUCACUUAAAGUUAAAAAAUCGAAUAGCAGAAGGAGGUAAAGAAAAAAGGAAGUAAAGAAAAAGACUUUUAAAAUGACUCACAAAAGAAAACCCAAUGUGAUAGAUUAUAAAAUUGGCCACAAACUCUUCCUCUCCCUUUAUCAUGAUUUUGCAGUGUGACAUUGCAGAUCUUCCCACCAGGAAGUGGAGUCUUUUUCUGCACCCUUUAAGUCUAGGUCGUUGAUGUGAGCUGCUUUGGCCAAUGGGGCAUUAGCAGUUGUGAUGCAAGCAGACACUUCAGUCAUCAGGGUUUGUCCUCUCUUACUGCACUUGCAACCCCGUGACCUCCAUGUGUACCGUCUUGCCUGCUGGAUUAUGAGAGACGUGGUUGAGUCACUCUCCUAGCCCUAACCAACAGUCUGCUAAUUGUCAGACAUAUGAACAAGGCUAUCUUAGAUCAUCCAACAACCAGGCAACACCCUAGAUGACCUCAGACACAGAAGCAAGCACCUGAGAGAUCAACUGAGCCAAUCUAGACCAGAACUGUUAAGCCAACCUACAGAAUUAUGAGCUAAAUAAAUGGCUGGUUUUUAAGUUUUGGCAUGGUUUGUUAUGCAACAGAAGCUAACUGAUACACUAUCAUUAUGGUACAUGCAAGCAACAUACCUAAAACAAAAUGAUUCAGAAAGGCUAAAUAGAAAGGAAUAGACAGACAUACUAGGUGCUGUGGACUGAAUGUGUACCCCCAACAGUCACUUCUUGAAAUUCAGUUCCAAAUGCGAUGGUAUUUGGAGGUGGGACCUUUGGAAGGUAAUUAGAUUGUGAGCACAGAGCCCUCAUGAAUAGGAUUAGUGCCCUUCUAAGAAGAGACGCAACAGCACUUGCUUCCUCUCUCACUCUGCUAUGUGAGGAUACAGUAAAAAGGUGUCUAUAUGCAAAGCAGUAAGAGGGCACUCACCAAAACCCAAUCAUGCUGGUACCCUGCUCUUAGACUUCACAUCCUCCAUAACCGUAAGAAAUAAAUGUUGUUGAAGCCACCCAAUCUAUAACAGCUUGAACUAACUAAAACACCAGACAAAUGGAAACAAUAGGAGUGCAGGGUCGUUCUUUUGAUAUCAGACAAUUCAGACCAAAAAGGCUUAAAUGUAAUUAAGGACAUUUCAUAAUGCUAAAGGCUAAAAUUAUCCAGAAAAAAAAAUGUAGCUAAAAGCCACAAUAAAGAUAAGAGUUUGAAAUAUCAAACUUUUGUAUCAGCUAACCCAAAAUAUCUGUGUACCAAGUAACACAGCAACCACCAUCAUAAAAAAGAAACUAUGGGAUUACAUUUCCAAGUAAUAAUUUCUUAUCUUUGGCCAACUCUGUGAGUAGCUAAGGGAAUUUUAAAAAGUGUUACUCAGGGAUGAUCCAAAGAAGAUACAUUUGGAAGCAAGAUAGGUGGAUUAAGUCUGUGCUGAAUAAUAAUUUGUCAUACCUCAUUAUAAGAGAUGUGGCCAUGGCCAGGCGUGGUGGCUCACACCUGUAAUCCCAACACUUUGGGAGGCCGAGGAGGGCAGAUCUCUUGAAGUCAGGAGUUUGAAACCAGCCUGGCCAACAUGGUGAAAACCCAAUUCUAAUAAAAAUACAAAAAAAUUAGCCGGGCGUGAUGGCAGGCGCCUGUAAUCCCAGCUACCGAGGAGGCUGGGGCAGGAGAAUCACUUGAACCCGGGAGGCAGAGGUUGCAGUGAGCUGAGAUUGUGCACUACUGCCUGGGUGACAAAGCGAGACUCCGUCUCAUAAAAAAGAGAGAAAGAGAGAGAUGGCCUUGUAAAAUUACAGGACAGAAGGACAGAUGGGAAAAUAUGUAUCUUCUACCUUGUGGUUAGGCUGUACUCUAUGAAAAUUAAUAUUUGUCCUUGGGAGAUGGUGAUUCAGCAGUCCCCUGCAGCACAGUCAGGAGAGCAAAGAAGUUCAUUGAUGACUCACAAGAGAAGUGAGUUCCUUCACCUGUCCUUUACUUUUUGGUGAAACCUGGAUAAAGUUCCCCACGUUCUCCACCCUAACUUGGAAUAUAAGAGAACUCCUCUACUCUCACCCAGCACAGUCUCCCCCAGAGUAUUAUUCUAGCUUACUUGUUAUUAAAUGGGUAAUUUUGCUCUCCAGUGGUCAUUUUUGGUUGUCACAACUUGGUGGGAGAGGAUGCUACUAGCCUCUAGUGGAUAGAAGCUAGAGAUGCUUCUAAACAUUCUACAAUGCACAGGACAGUCUCUCAUAGCAAAAAUAUUAUCCAGCCCUAAAUGUCACUAGUACUAAGGGUAAAAUUCGCUUGAAAAGCAUAUUACUCAGAACAGGCUCCAAAUUUUGAGAAAUAUACCGCUAGGGGUAUAGUCUGAUCUAUUUGGAAGGGGUGGGUUGUUCAGAGAAUGAAUAAAGUCUUGCUUUGAAAGGUGAGAAGAAGGAAGCAUUGUUGCAGAGAUAUUGGCUCCUAAGAAUAGGGGAGAAAAAUAAGGAAGUGGAGUACAUCAAUGAGGGGUGAACUUCCAGAGGAAUUUUCCAUUAAACUAAAGAGAAAUUUACUGCCAUUUUCUUUAUUGACCCCACCCUCAUUAAAGGCAGAAUGAAGGAACAAGACAGCAAAGAAUGUGACUGGCCCCAUGGAAAGGAAGUUGUAUCCUAUCCUGGGGACUCUGUCCAGAUGUUCCAGGUGGUGACAAACAGCAACAUAAUAUAGUGGUUUAUGCAGACUUCUUCACACAUGUGAGGAGCAAGCUUGGAAGUUCAAAGGGUUUGAUGCCCAUACAUUGUGAAAUAUCAGAACAUUAGAGACAAAGAGAUAAUGUUCUAAGUGUCUGGAGAGGGAGAAAAAACAGGCCAUGUACAAGGAAUGAUAAUAAAAAUGACUCUGGGCUUCUCAGCAACAUUUGAAGGAAGAAGACAAUGGAAGAGUGUCUUCAAUGUGAUGGAAAAUGCCUUCCAACCUAGAAAUCCUAUAACCAACCAAACUGGCAAUGUGAAGAUUGACUAUAGACACUUGUAACAUCUGAACAAAAUUAGGCCAGGCGUGGUGGCUCACACCUGUAAACCCAGCACUUUGGGAGGCCAAGGCGGGCAGAUCACUUGAGGUCAGGAGUUCGAGACCAGCCUGGCCAACAUGGUGAAACCCUGUCUUUACUAAAAAUAUGAAAAUUAGCCAGGUGUGAUAGUGGGCACUUGUAAUCCCAGCUACCUGGGAGGCUGAGGCAGGAGAAUUGCUUGAACCCAGGAGGCAGAGGUUGCAGUGAGCCAAGAUCAUGCCUCUGCACUCCAGCCUGAGCGACAGAGACUCCGUCUCAAAAAAAAAAAAAAAAAAAAAACUGAAAAAAUUAUCAUUUAUAUUGAUUUUCUUUGCUGCUAUAAAAAAUUGCUACAAACUUAGUGGCUUAAGACAACACAAAUUUAUUCUCUUACAGUUCUGGAGAUCAGAAUUCCUAAAUCAAGAUGUUAGCAGGACUGUUUCCCUUCCAGCGGCUCUAGAGGAGAAUCUAUUUCCUUACCUUCCUCGCUGCCAGAGGCUGCUUGCAUUCCUUGUCUUGUGGUCCCUUCCUUCCUACAUCCAUAUUUAAAACCAGCACAUCUCUCUCUUCUGUCUAUCUCUCGCUGUCUCUGUCUGUCUUUCUCUCAUGCAUACAUACACAUGCACACAUAUACCUCCUACUAUCCUAUUAUAUAGACCUUCAUUACUACCUGUGACCACCCAAAUAAUCCAGGAUAAUCUCCCAAUUUAAACAUUCUUAAUGUGAUCACAUCUUCAAAGUCUCUUUUGCCAUUUAAGGCAACAUAUUCACAAGUUUUAGAGAUUAGAAUGUGGACAUUUUAGGGAACCAGUAUUCUGUCUACUACAUCACACAAUCACAUUGCCUGUACUAAGAUGAGAGAGUCAUCUGAGAAAUAAGAAAAUACGGAAUAUAGAAAAUAAGAGAUUCAACACAGAAAAAGGAAAAGACUCUCCAUGCUGGUGGUGAAGUUGUGAUAUUCAAAUGACAACUGCACAGCAGUCCUGAUUGGGGCAGUGUGGUAUGAGAGAGAGCCAUGUCAACCGCUGUCCUUACCAUGUUUCUGCCAUUGUAACAUACUUUUAACUUGAUGGAUAUGCUUCACCAAAUAGGGAAUAAAUCUAAAUGUAGAAAGACAGAUUAAGGACCCAGAGAAUCUAACUAGAACCCAUAAGGCUAGAUAACAAAAACAAAAACCAACAGAAAUAAAUGAUGUCAAACAGCCCUGAAAGAAUCCAGAUAUUGGAAUUAUUAAACACAAAUAAUAAAACAACUAUAUUUACUAUGUUAAAGGACACAAAAAUUAUGCUUGAAAAUUUCAACAGGAAACUGGAAACUAUAACAAGCAACAGAGCAUGUUUUAAAAAGAAUCAGAUUGGAUUUGACAAUGGAAAGAAACCAUAAAUCAAGUUUAAGAUCAGUGAAUGGGUUUCCAGCAGAUAGCAAACUGGAAGAUAUAUUGAAAAUACAAUCAUAAAACACUGCGACACUGCUGGGAAUUAUAUUCGCAUAUAUGUAAUAAUGUAAACAUUGAUUAUUGAUUUGACCAACUAUUGUAAUAUAACUAUAUUGAGAAUAUUAAGGAUAGCAGAAGACAGAAUGACAUUGUAAGACAGAUAAAUUCUCAUCUACUACAAUAUGAAGCUGAUAGAUAAUAGCUAAAGAUAGUAUAUGCCUAUUAUUUACAAAUUAGGUAGAGGUGUAAAUGCCAGAGAGAGCUAAAAGCAUAAAAAAAUAGUUGUCUCUAGGAAGGAGGGAAGAAAGUAGAGAGGGAUGG